UACGUAGGGGGCUAGCGUUGUCCGGAUUUAUUGGGCGUAAAGAGCGUGUAGGCGGCCAGGUAGGUCCGCUGUGAAAGUCCGAGGCUCAACCUCGGAAUGUCGGCGGAAACCCUCUGGCUAGAGUCCGGAAGAGGAGAGUGGAAUUCCCGGUGUAGCGGUGAAAUGCGCAGAUAUCGGGAAGAACACCCGUGGCGAAGGCGGCUCUCUGGGACGGUACUGACGCUGAGACGCGAAAGCGUGGGGAGCGAACAGG
Molecule: ribosomal RNA, 253 nt
Filed under: uncultured bacterium
Lineage: Bacteria
Description: partial 16S ribosomal RNA
Rfam family: Bacterial small subunit ribosomal RNA
Source: RNAcentral